AGUGAACGCUGGCGGUAUGCCUAACACAUGCAAGUCGAACGGCAGCACAGUAAGAUCUUGCUCUUACGGGUGGCGAGUGGCGGACGGGUGAGGAAUACAUCGGAAUCUACUUUUUCGGGGGUGAUUACGUAGGGAAACUUACGCUAAUACCGCAUACGACCUACGGGUGAAAGCAGUGGAGAUUCGGACCUUGCGCGAUUGAAUGAGCCGAUGUCGGAUUAGCUAGUUGGCGAGGUAAAGGCCCACCAAGGCGACGAUCCGUAGCUGGUCUGAGAGGAUGAUCAGCCACACUGGAACUGAGACACGGUCCAGACUCCUACGGGAGGCAGCAGUGGGGAAUCUUGGACAAUGGGCGAAAGCCUGACCCAGCAACACCGCGUGGGUGAAGAAGGCCUUCGGGUCGUAAAGCCCUGUUGUUGGGAAAGAAAAGCAGCAGGUUAAUCCACCGCUGUCCUGACGGUACCCAAAGAAUAAGCCCCGGCUAACUUCGUG
Molecule: ribosomal RNA, 492 nt
Filed under: uncultured bacterium
Lineage: Bacteria
Description: partial 16S ribosomal RNA
Rfam family: Bacterial small subunit ribosomal RNA
Source: RNAcentral